Long non-coding RNA from Gasterosteus aculeatus aculeatus (three-spined stickleback), 1638 nucleotides. The record is from Ensembl. Lineage: Eukaryota; Metazoa; Chordata; Actinopteri; Perciformes; Gasterosteidae.
CUUUUUUUUCUAGUUGUAUUUUCCAUUUUUAUUUUUUUUAUAUUCUUCUAUAUUGUUGUUAAUUUGACUGUAAAUGAUCACCCACCGUGACAUUCCUCCUAUGUCCAUCUUACUUGGCAAAUAAAGGACUCUCACUCCAACUAGUGUUGGAUACAGUCAAAAGUUAAUAUGGGGAUCAUUGCCCUGGAAUUGCCAUGUUCAAAAUUGAAUACUUCUGAUGCAUAUUUUUACCAAAUGAGGUCAUUGCUUCUCGACACGGGUUUAAAAACAACUGAUUGUUUGUUCUUUGUGUUCUGUGUGAUAAUUUACAUAUGGUGCAGGCGAGUGGAGACUCAGUCUAAUAGGAGAUGCAAACAACCUAACCGCUGGGCCCUUGUGAUCGGAUCACCGGGACCUAUUUUAAUGUGUAAACGACGCCACAGACAGAGAUUGCUUUGAAUUCAAAGGGGGAGGAAAAAAAAAAACCUUCUGAUUUUGAAAGUCCUCUUCAAAGACGAGGUGUGGCUGAAGGGUUUUCCAGGUAAACUGCUCAGUUUGCUCGGUAAAUGUUUCGCAGCUCGUUCCCUCCCGGCUCUGUUAGUUUCCUAAUUGCUGGGCCUCGGUGUUUAUAUUCUGACUAAAGUGAGGUUGAGUUUUUAAGCCACUUUUCACACGUGAAUGGUUUGAGAUCUUAAGAAGUAGAAGAAUUACGAGGCGGUGGCCAUGGUCACAUUUUGUUGCGUUUCCAGCUCUUGGCAGACUAGACUUGAUGGAGUCUUCAUGGAAAACGGGCUCUUUCUUAAAAGGAUUGCUCUUCUGUAUUUUGGUAAUUUGUAAUGGAAAUUGCGACAUAAUGUAGGCUUUGUUGUGUUCAGUUCGUGAGCAGAGGAAGGCACUGCACACCCUGAAGAGGAAGAACGGAGCGGUUGGUUUUUGAGCCACAGGAACAAGCCCAUGGUGAAAUUAGAAUCGCAUCCUACUUGUAGCGUAGAUGGGAGGCCCCCAUCUGGCCUCCGUGCUCUGCUCGACUGAUGUGAACCAGCUGGGCCUGGAAUGUUUGGCUCACACAACUUCCACCCGUGAAGCAACGCGCGGCCGGUAACCAGUGACUGCUGCUGUUGCAGAGGAGCACAAAUCGCCCCACCAGUGGUAGUCCGCAAAUGGGUCGCCUUGUUGGAGCUCAGGUGUUGGUUGAUAGCGACUCUACCUCCUCUGUGGGUUCCCCCCCCCCGACAUGGUGGAACUGCUCGCCGGCCCCCUCCUCUGGGGCUGAUAUGUGUGUUGAGGGGCCGUGUUAUCUCUCUUUAGGAUUAAAACAUCAGUGCACAAGCUAUUAGUCGCUGGAUGAUUAUCUAAAUAUAGCUCCCCUUCUGUACACCUCCAUCCCCUUUCAUUUUCUUGCUGGCUCUACGUUCUAACCCCCCCCGUUAAUGGCUCCUCUUGCCUUCACUCAUGUAUGUGUGCAAGCAUCCAUGUGGACAUCUGCAGUUUUAAUGCCCUAUAGGCAGAAAAGAAAUUGUGCUAUUUGUCGGCUGUUAUGUGCCAUCAUUCUUUAAAGCACACAUUGCACAGUGAGGAAAAAGGAGGGGGGGGGGUGCUGGACGCAAGACCAGAAAAGUACUUUCUUUGGUGCCCUGAAGUAUCCCACGCCAAACCUGC